GGCCCGGUAGGCUAAUGGUAGACCGCCUCGUUUACACCGAGAUGGCGGAGGUUCGAUUCCUCCUCGGGCCA
This 71-nucleotide transfer RNA is filed under the name Candidatus Pacearchaeota archaeon. RNAcentral's name for it is "tRNA-Val". It matches the Rfam family "tRNA". Rfam says of the family: Transfer RNA (tRNA) molecules are approximately 80 nucleotides in length. Their secondary structure includes four short double-helical elements and three loops (D, anti-codon, and T loops). Lineage: Archaea; Nanobdellati. The record is from RNAcentral.